UUUUUUGUUUAUUUUAAAAUGUAGCAAAUAACAACGCUUGUUGCAGAAAGCGCUUUAUAAUACUAUCCUAUAUCAGCACUUAUGUUGUUUAAGCAUCGUCUAAAUGUAAUAUAAGACAACCCUUAUAAGUAGAAAGCGCCGUCUAAAUGCAUCAUAAGAUAGCGCUUAUGAGUAGAAAGUGUUGUCUAUUGGUGGCGUAUAAUAGUUCUUACAACAAAAGGCGAUGUCUAAAUGUAACAUAAGACAUCACUUAUAAUUAGAAAGCGUUGUCUAUUGGUGGCAUAUAAUAGCGCUUACGACAAAAGGCGCCGUCUAAAGGUAACAUUAGACAACGUUUUUACUUGAUUAUUAAGCGCUGAUCAUAGUGUUAUUUUGUGCGAUGUGUUCAUCUUCUUGCAUUAUAGACCGAAUUAUGAUCAUCUGAAAAUAAUCAUAAGUGUGUCCCAUAUACAAACAUGUAGGACUAUGCACACCUCUUACAAAGAGAAGGCUUCCAAUGGUAGCACCAACACUUCAAAGAAAUGCAACCAAGCUGAUACUUCUACAACGCCCCAUGAUAAUUCAUAGUAUGCAUUUUAAUGCCUCAUCAACUAGAAUGCCAAAUAUAUAGACUAUCAUUCACUUAUCAAAUAAGCAUGAUUUCCUUUGGUAAAUGUCAUUGUCCAUCCAUUUCCCAAAUAAUGUUAGCCCGAACAAUUACACUCUCUGCCGAAAAGAGAGAAUAGCGGAGAAGAGCGACAAAUAGAAAUUGAUCAACAAAGAAGAGCGGUCGCGACGAUUGUUUUAUGGUGGAGGGAGAACAUCGUUGGUGAGGUUCGAUGGUAGAUUUUAGGGUGGAUUAGGGCUAUAUCAAUCCGGACUGUGAACUGAACCAUUAGAAACUAGUGAAUAUAUUAGCAACUCUAACCACGUCAAAAACCAAUGAAAACAAUAUACAUGGUUUUAAAAAUCACUCCAAACAUAGAUCAUAGAUAGUGAGAAUGAUGAUGAAUGCUCGUAGAUAGUUAGAAUACUAAAAUAAAUAGUUGAGUAAAUAUAAAUCGCAUUUCUUUGGUGAAAAAAAAAGCUUGAAAUUAUGAGCAUUUUCACAGUCUUCCAAAAUUAUAUCAAAACAAGUAAAUUAGUUACUCUAUUAUGUCAUUCCAUACAUAAAUAAAACAUUACUUGGUGGCUCUUAUUUUGGUAUCACCUCAAUUUCAUUAAAAAUGAAGAACAAAGUGGAUAUGUCACAACACCAAUCUUCAAAGAAACCAGACAAAAAUUUUCCUUGUUAAAGAUGCAAAAGCAGGACACAAACAACAUUCACGUAAUGCUUAGAAUUAUAUACCAUAACAAGUUAUAGAGAAACUAAACAGAAAAUUGAGGCCUCAAUAAUUGUAGGAAAUUACUAACCAUCGUGAUUUAAAGAAUUAAAGAUAUUGUCAGCUUGAUUAGAAAGCGAAAAUUUCCCCUCAUAGUCAUUAUAAGCAUUGACACUAACUAACGAUUAACAAAUCUACCAACACAUGUUUAAACCAAACAUCAAAUGUAAACAUAAAAAUAAUCAGUGAGGACAACCAAUAAUUAUUGAAGUAUGUUUAACCGAUAUAAUCUGGAAAUCAGUAAGUACAAUUGCCCUAAACUGAAAAUUUAAUUUGAGAAAUUGAAAAAAUUGAAAGGAAACGGGAAAUUGAAGGUUAUUGUAAAUAAGAAGAAUAUGAAAUUGAAGAUGAAAUUAACUAACUCACCUUUUAAAAUAAGAAGAGAAGGCGGCGAGGCAGCUAAACACAGGUGGUGAGAGAGAGAAGUCGACGGCAAGUGAAGAGAAGGUUGUGCUCUCAGCCUCUCACCUGCGUGUGUUGUUGUUUGGUGAAGAAAGAGAAAGGGAAAAAAAGUUAAAAGAAAAAAUGGAAAAAGAAGAAAAAUAAGUCACAUGUGUGCCAGUUUGGUAUAAAAAAUAAAAAUAAAAUAGAAAUAGAGGUACAAAGCAAUUGUAUAGUAUUAAUGUUGUAUUUUUGUUAUGGAUUUGUGUAUACAUAACAUUUCUGAUUUAUUUAUCCCCACUUUUGCCACCAUAUUUGCCAUUGUCAGACACAUAAAAUUGAUCCUCACUUUUGCCACAAUUCUCAUUCUUGGCUCUUUCAAUAGCAACAACCCCAUCGCUCUCAAUUACCUCAGGUUGAAACACAUGAUUUAAAUUGGAGUUGCAGAAGNN
Molecule: long non-coding RNA, 2194 nt
Filed under: Trifolium pratense (red clover)
Lineage: Eukaryota; Viridiplantae; Streptophyta; Magnoliopsida; Fabales; Fabaceae
Description: long non-coding RNA (TPRA_LNC003011)
Source: RNAcentral